RNAcentral lists this ribosomal RNA (138 nucleotides) under uncultured bacterium. Its description in RNAcentral is "partial 16S ribosomal RNA". It matches the Rfam family "Bacterial small subunit ribosomal RNA", at positions 355 to 509 of the family's 1533-position model. The record is from RNAcentral.
UGGGGAAUAUUGCACAAUGGGGGAAACCCUGAUGCAGCGACGCCGCGUGGGUGAAGAAGUAUUUCGGUAUGUAAAGCCCUAUCAGCAGGGAAGAAAAAUGACGGUACCUGAUCAAGAAGCCCCGGCUAACUACGUGCC